RNAcentral lists this long non-coding RNA (227 nucleotides) under Elaeis guineensis (African oil palm). RNAcentral's name for it is "long non-coding RNA (EGUI_LNC015207)". Lineage: Eukaryota; Viridiplantae; Streptophyta; Magnoliopsida; Arecales; Arecaceae. The record is from RNAcentral.
ACAUGGAUUAGGCUUGAUUGUGUUAUUUAUUGUAAUUCUGAUCUUUUGCAGCAGGUAAACAGGAAGCACAUAGAUAAAGCACAUAAAAACAUAAUCCAUGACAUGUAGGCAUAUCUAGCUUUCCUUUUGUCACUUGAUUGCAUCUCCUUUUUCUGUUUUUUAGAUAAAGACCUGUUGCGGCCAACUCCCCAUCGUCUGUCGCCAGAAAUGAACACCUGCAAAAAGCA